RNAcentral lists this ribosomal RNA (591 nucleotides) under uncultured Burkholderia sp. RNAcentral describes it as "bacterial SSU rRNA". It matches the Rfam family "Bacterial small subunit ribosomal RNA", at positions 418 to 1003 of the family's 1533-position model. The record is from RNAcentral. Lineage: Bacteria; Pseudomonadati; Pseudomonadota; Betaproteobacteria; Burkholderiales; Burkholderiaceae.
UCGGGUUGUAAAGCACUUUUGUCCGGAAAGAAAACUUCUGCCCUAAUACGGCGGGAGGAUGACGGUACCGGAAGAAUAAGCACCGGCUAACUACGUGCCAGCAGCGCGGUAAUCGUAGGGUGCGAGCGUUAAUCGGAAUUACUGGGCGUAAAGCGUGCGCAGGCGGCUCGUUAAGACAGAUGUGAAAUCCCCGGGCUUAACCUGGGAACUGCAUUUGUGACUGGCGAGCUAGAGUAUGGCAGAGGGGGGUAGAAUUCCACGUGUAGCAGUGAAAUGCGUAGAGAUGUGGAGGAAUACCGAUGGCGAAGGCAGCCCCCUGGGCCAAUACUGACGCUCAUGCACGAAAGCGUGGGGAGCAAACAGGAUUAGAUACCCUGGUAGUCCACGCCCUAAACGAUGUCAACUAGUUGUUGGGGAUUCAUUUCCCUAGUAACGUAGCUAACGCGUGAAGUUGACCGCCUGGGGAGUACGGUCGCAAGAUUAAAACUCAAAGGAAUUGACGGGGACCCGCACAAGCGGUGGAUGAAGGUGGAUUAAUUCGAUGCAACGCGAAAAACCUUACCUACCCUUGACAUGGUCGGAACCCUGCUG